GUCGAGCGGCAGCACAGAGGAACUUGUUCCUUGGGUGGCGAGCGGCGGACGGGUGAGUAAUGCCUGGGAAAUUGCCCGGUAGAGGGGGAUAACCAUUGGAAACGAUGGCUAAUACCGCAUAACCUCGUAAGAGCAAAGCAGGGGACCUUCGGGCCUUGCGCUACCGGAUAUGCCCAGGUGGGAUUAGCUAGUUGGUGAGGUAAGGGCUCACCAAGGCGACGAUCCCUAGCUGGUCUGAGAGGAUGAUCAGCCACACUGGAACUGAGACACGGUCCAGACUCCUACGGGAGGCAGCAGUGGGGAAUAUUGCACAAUGGGCGCAAGCCUGAUGCAGCCAUGCCGCGUGUAUGAAGAAGGCCUUCGGGUUGUAAAGUACUUUCAGUAGGGAGGAAGAUGGUUAAGUUAAUACCUUAAUCAUUUGACGUUACCUACAGAAG
This 437-nucleotide ribosomal RNA is filed under the name Vibrio cholerae. RNAcentral describes it as "bacterial SSU rRNA". It matches the Rfam family "Bacterial small subunit ribosomal RNA", at positions 61 to 487 of the family's 1533-position model. Lineage: Bacteria; Pseudomonadati; Pseudomonadota; Gammaproteobacteria; Vibrionales; Vibrionaceae. The record is from RNAcentral.